UUUCAUGACUGGGGUGAAGUCGUAUCAAGUUUACGGUAGGGGAACCUGCGGUUGGAUCACCUCCUUACCUUAAAGAA
RNAcentral lists this ribosomal RNA (77 nucleotides) under Enterobacter hormaechei. RNAcentral describes it as "partial 16S ribosomal RNA". Lineage: Bacteria; Pseudomonadati; Pseudomonadota; Gammaproteobacteria; Enterobacterales; Enterobacteriaceae. The record is from RNAcentral.